GCACCCAUGGCCGAGUGGGUAACGCGAGCGGCUACCAAUCUGACGGCGGGGGUUCGACCCCCUUUCGGCGUA
This is a non-coding RNA of Caenorhabditis brenneri, 72 nucleotides long. The record is from the annotation of a GenBank genome assembly. Lineage: Eukaryota; Metazoa; Nematoda; Chromadorea; Rhabditida; Rhabditidae.